GACGAACGCUGACGGCGUGCUUUAGACAUGCAAGUCGAACGAGAAAGCCCUUCGGGGUUAGUAAAGUGGCGAACGGGUGAGUAACACGUGGGCAAUCUGCCCUUCGUUGGGGGGCAACCGGGGGAAACCCCGGCUAAUACCCCGUAAGCUUGUCGGGUCGCAUGGCCUGACAAGGAGAGGUAGCUUCGGCCAUCCGGCGAAGGAGGAGCCCGCGGUACAUUAGCUAGUUGGUGAGGUAAAGGCCCACCAAGGCGACGAUGUAUAGCUGGUCUGAGAGGAUGAUCAGCCACACUGGGACUGAGACCCGGCCCAGACUCCUACGGGAGGCAGCAGUCGGGAAUCUUGCACAAUGGGCGAAAGCCUGAUGCAGCAACGCCGUGUGAGCGACGAAGGCCCUAGGGUCGUAAAGCUCUGUUGUUAGGGACGAAGGGCGAAGGGUUAAUAGCCCUUAGCCUGACGGUACCUUUCGAGGAAGCCCCGGCUAACUACGUGCCAGCAGCCGCCGUAA
This 508-nucleotide ribosomal RNA is filed under the name uncultured bacterium. RNAcentral describes it as "partial 16S ribosomal RNA". It matches the Rfam family "Bacterial small subunit ribosomal RNA", at positions 28 to 523 of the family's 1533-position model. The record is from RNAcentral.